This 941-nucleotide ribosomal RNA is filed under the name Asterodiscus tamaricis. Its description in RNAcentral is "partial 28S ribosomal RNA". It matches the Rfam family "Eukaryotic large subunit ribosomal RNA", at positions 27 to 982 of the family's 3401-position model. Lineage: Eukaryota; Fungi; Ascomycota; Dothideomycetes; Stigmatodiscales; Stigmatodiscaceae. The record is from RNAcentral.
GCUUGGAACUAAGCAUAUCAGUAAGCGGAGGAAAAGAAACCAACCGGGAUUGCCCCAGUAACGGCGAGUGAAGCGGCAAGAGCUCAGAUUUGAAAUCUGGCCCCCUCUGGGGGUCCGAGUUGUAAUCUGGAGAGGAUGCUUCGGCCUUGGUGCCGCCCCAGGUUCCCUGGAAAGGGACGUCGUAGAGGGUGAGAACCCCGUACUUGGGCGGAUGCCUCGGCCUUGUGAAGCUCCCUCGGCGAGUCGAGUUGCUUGGGAAUGCAGCUCAAAUUGGGAGGUAAAUUCCUUCUAAAGCUAAAUACCGGCCGGAGACCGAUAGCGCACAAGUAGAGUGAUCGAAAGAUGAAAAGCACUUUGGAAAGAGAGUGAAAAAGCACGUGAAAUUGUUGAAAGGGAAGCGCUUGCAGCCAGACGUGGCCGCCGUCGCUCGGUGGGGCCCCGCGCCCCGCCUACGCUUCGGCGGGCAGGCCAGCGUCAGCUCGGGCGGCCGUAGAAGCGCGUGGGAACGUAGCACCCUCCGGGGUGUGUUAUAGCCCACGCCGGAUGCGGCCCGCCUGGGCUGAGGUCCCGCGCUUUGCGAGGACGCUGGCGUAAUGGUGGUAAGCGGCCCGUCUUGAAACACGGACCAAGGAGUCUUACAUCCGCGCGAGUGUUCGGGCUUUGAACCCCGGGCGCGCAAUGAAAGUGAAUGGAGGUGGGAACCCUUCGGGGUGCACCAUCGACCGAUCCAGAUGUCCUCGGACGGAUUUGAGUAUGAGCGCGGAUGCGGGGACCCGAAAGAUGGUGAACUAUGCCUAAGCAGGGCGAAGCCAGAGGAAACUCUGGUGGAGGCUCGCAGCGGUUCUGACGUGCAAAUCGAUCGUCAAAUUUGGGUAUAGGGGCGAAAGACCAAUCGAACCAUCUAGUAGCUGGUUCCUGCCGAAGUUUCCCCUCAGGGAACC